RNAcentral lists this long non-coding RNA (447 nucleotides) under Mytilus galloprovincialis (Mediterranean mussel). The record is from RNAcentral. Lineage: Eukaryota; Metazoa; Mollusca; Bivalvia; Mytilida; Mytilidae.
GGAAAUUUCUCGCUACAUUGAAGACCUGUAGGUGACCUUCUGCUGUUGUUUUUUAUUUGGUCGGGUUGUUGUCUCUUUGACGCAUUCCCCAUUUCCAUUCUCAAUUUUAUAAUUGUAAGCAGCAAGAAUGUUUAGUAAAGUAAGAUCUACAAACACAUCACCAUCACCAAAACACAAUUUUGUCAUGUGUCCUUUGUUUAAUUUUCACAUACACCAAGGUGAGCGACACAGGCUCUAGUUUUAAAUUUCGUCCCCUCGACCCUUAGAAUGGCAAAUCAUGCAUUCCUUGCAAAUGUGUUUAUUUAAUGUCUUCAUACAGUUUUACAUUAAAGAUUAUACUUCAUUUUCAACUGUUAAAUACUAAUGUAUAGGAAGUCAAAACAAAAACAAAGAAAUUAACUUGGAUGCUUAUCGUCACCAUUCUUCAUCAUAAUAAUAUAGCAAGCA